This 594-nucleotide ribosomal RNA is filed under the name uncultured fungus. RNAcentral describes it as "eukaryotic LSU rRNA". The stretch from base 226 to 379 matches the Rfam family "5.8S ribosomal RNA". Lineage: Eukaryota; Fungi. The record is from RNAcentral.
AGUCGUAACAAGGUUUCCGUAGGUGAACCUGCGGAAGGAUCAUUAAAGAGUAAGGGUGCUCAGCGCCCGACCUCCAACCCUUUGUUGUUAAAACUACCUUGUUGCUUUGGCGGGACCGCUCGGUCUCGAGCCGCUGGGGAUUCGUCCCAGGCGAGCGCCCGCCAGAGUUAAACCAAACUCUUGUUAUUAAACCGGUCGUCUGAGUUAAAAUUUUGAAUAAAUCAAAACUUUCAACAACGGAUCUCUUGGUUCUCGCAUCGAUGAAGAACGCAGCGAAAUGCGAUAAGUAAUGUGAAUUGCAGAAUUCAGUGAAUCAUCGAAUCUUUGAACGCACAUUGCGCCCCUUGGUAUUCCGAGGGGCAUGCCUGUUCGAGCGUCAUUACACCACUCAAGCUAUGCUUGGUAUUGGGUGCCGUCCUUAGUUGGGCGCGCCUUAAAGACCUCGGCGAGGCCUCACCGGCUUUAGGCGUAGUAGAAUUUAUUCGAACGUCUGUCAAAGGAGAGGACUUCUGCCGACUGAAACCUUUUAUUUUUCUAGGUUGACCUCGGAUCAGGUAGGGAUACCCGCUGAACUUAAGCAUAUCAAUAAAGUCG